Small nucleolar RNA from Rhinolophus ferrumequinum (greater horseshoe bat), 104 nucleotides. The record is from Ensembl. Lineage: Eukaryota; Metazoa; Chordata; Mammalia; Chiroptera; Rhinolophidae.
AUCCUUUUGUAGUUCAUAAGUGUGAUGAUUGGGUGUUCACGCUUUUGUGUGAGAUGUGCCUCCCACAAACCUUGUUACGACAACGGCACAUUACCCGUCUGACG